RNAcentral lists this ribosomal RNA (446 nucleotides) under uncultured bacterium. Its description in RNAcentral is "bacterial SSU rRNA". It matches the Rfam family "Bacterial small subunit ribosomal RNA", at positions 355 to 825 of the family's 1533-position model. The record is from RNAcentral.
UGGGGAAUAUUGGACAAUGGGCGAAAGCCUGAUCCAGCCAUGCCGCGUGAGUGACGAAGGCCUUAGGGUUGUAAAACUCUUUCGUCGGGGACGAUAAUGACGGUACCCGAAGAAGAAGCUCCGGCUAACUCGUGCCAGCAGCCGCGGUAAUACGAAGGGAGCUAGCGUUGUUCGGAAUCACUGGGCGUAAAGCGCACGUAGGCGGAUAGUUAAGUCAGGGGUGAAAUCCUGGGGCUCAACCCCAGAACUGCCUUUGAUACUGGCUGUCUCGAGGUCGAGAGAGGUUGGUGGAAUUCCUAGUGUAGAGGUGAAAUUCGUAGAUAUUAGGAAGAACACCAGUGGCGAAGGCGGCUCACUGGAUCGGUACUGACGCUGAGGUGCGAAAGCGUGGGGAGCAAACAGGAUUAGAUACCCCCGUAGUCCCUGAGCGGGCUGGCAAGGCGCAU